CUUGGUUCUGGCAUCGAUGAAGAACGCAGCGAAAUGCGAUAAGUAAUGUGAAUUGCAGAAUUCAGUGAAUCAUCGAAUCUUUGAACGCACAUUGCGCCCGCUGGAAUUCCAGCGGGCAUGCCUGUUCGAGCGUCAUU
Molecule: ribosomal RNA, 137 nt
Filed under: Cryphonectria macrospora
Lineage: Eukaryota; Fungi; Ascomycota; Sordariomycetes; Diaporthales; Cryphonectriaceae
Description: 5.8S ribosomal RNA
Rfam family: 5.8S ribosomal RNA
About the family: 5.8S ribosomal RNA (5.8S rRNA) is a component of the large subunit of the eukaryotic ribosome. It is transcribed by RNA polymerase I as part of the 45S precursor that also contains 18S and 28S rRNA.
Source: RNAcentral